AACGAACGCUGGCGGCAUGCCUAACACAUGCAAGUCGAACGAGACCUUCGGGUCUAGUGGCGCACGGGUGCGUAACGCGUGGGAACCUGCCCUUAGGUUCGGAAUAACUCCCCGAAAGGGGUGCUAAUACCGGAUAAUGUCUUCGGACCAAAGAUUUAUCGCCUUUGGAUGGGCCCGCGUUGGAUUAGCUAGUUGGUAGGGUAAAAGCCUACCAAGGCGACGAUCCAUAGCUGGUCUGAGAGGAUGAUCAGCCACACUGGGACUGAGACACGGCCCAGACUCCUACGGGAGGCAGCAGUGGGGAAUAUUGGAAAAUGGGCGAAAGCCUGAUCCAUCAAUGCCGCGUGAGUGAUGAAGGCAUUAGGGUUGUAAAGCUCUUUUACCCGGGAUGAUAAUGACAGUACCGGGAGAAUAAGCUCCGGCUAACUCCGUG
RNAcentral lists this ribosomal RNA (433 nucleotides) under uncultured bacterium. Its description in RNAcentral is "partial 16S ribosomal RNA". It matches the Rfam family "Bacterial small subunit ribosomal RNA", at positions 29 to 507 of the family's 1533-position model. The record is from RNAcentral.